This 378-nucleotide unclassified non-coding RNA is filed under the name Hevea brasiliensis (rubber tree). The record is from RNAcentral. Lineage: Eukaryota; Viridiplantae; Streptophyta; Magnoliopsida; Malpighiales; Euphorbiaceae.
UAGGAAAUUGUUUUGAGAAAUCCUGAGAUCUGCGAACUUAAAGCUCUGAUUAGUUGUUGGAACAUCUUUAAUAGACUGUGUAGAGCACCUAUUUGGUGGUGAAGAGUGGAUACUAUCUUACAGUGCUGUUUUCUAAAAGAAGAGCCGAAUAAUUAUGUUGGUGGCAUUGAUGAUGAAUAUAAUGAUAGUACUGAAUACUGUCUUAGUGUCUUUGAAUGUAAUUGCAAAAUAAUGUAGAAUUCUGCCAACUGGAAUGUGCAUGGACGUCAGUGGGAUCAUUAAUGUGCUUUCUGAUUUGCUAUUUCCAAAACAGCUUAGACCUUAAGUGGUAUAAUUAUUCUUCAUCAUGCAGUGUUAAGAAUAUCCAAAUGAAAAAUG